RNAcentral lists this ribosomal RNA (492 nucleotides) under uncultured bacterium. Its description in RNAcentral is "partial 16S ribosomal RNA". It matches the Rfam family "Bacterial small subunit ribosomal RNA", at positions 29 to 507 of the family's 1533-position model. The record is from RNAcentral.
AGUGAACGCUGGCGGUAGGCCUAACACAUGCAAGUCGAACGGCAGCACAGUAAGAGCUUGCUCUUACGGGUGGCGAGUGGCGGACGGGUGAGGAAUACAUCGGAAUCUACUUUUUCGUGGGGGAUAACGUAGGGAAACUUACGCUAAUACCGCAUACGACCUACGGGUGAAAGCAGGGGAUCUUCGGACCUUGCGCGAUUGAAUGAGCCGAUGUCGGAUUAGCUAGUUGGCGGGGUAAAGGCCCACCAAGGCGAGGAUCCGUAGCUGGUCUGAGAGGAUGAUCGGCCACCCUGGAACUGAGACACGGUCCAGACUCCUGCGGGAGGCAGCAGUGGGGAAUAUUGGACAAUGGGCGCAAGCCUGAUCCAGCCAUACCGCGUCGGUGAAGGAGGCCUUCGGGUUGUAAAGCCCUUUUGUUGGGAAAGAAAAGCAUCAGGUUAAUACCCCGCUGUUCUGACGGUACCCAAAGAAUAAGCACCGGCUAACUUCGUG